UACGAACCGGUAUCUUUGUGAGCAAUCAGUGAGAAAGCCACGCAAGGACCAGUCGUGACCCUGAGCAGCACCAGAACGGAAGGCCUGCCAAGCCCACGUCACUCCGCAGCCCGUAGAGGGCCACCCACACCGCACUCGUCUGUCCCCAGACCCGAGGCCUGAAGGUUAUGAACAGCAAGUCUUACAGAACAAGAGGUUGAAUCUUUCGCUCUAGAACGACAUGUCAAGCAUCUGGUGUUGCAGAUCUCCUAGGACAGAAAUGAACGUCUGAGAAGUGCCCGGAGGAACCCAGAGCAGCUUCGGGAUCGACGCAUGACUGGAAAGAGAAGUAGGUGAUCAAGCCAGAAACCUGGGCUCAGCUAUCCUGGGCUGCCAAAUUUCCUCUUUACAAGUUUCAUUUGGAAGGAGGGAAAUUUCAUUCCAUUUCCAUUCUGGCAAAGAGCUCCAUUUCAGGCUUCAGACUUAAUUUUCUAGGCUGGGUGCAGCACAAGGCUUAGUAAUCACCCUCUGACCGUGACUCACUCACAGCGGGGUGCAAUACAUCAAUCCGGGGGAACGAGUGUUUGGAACACCACUGGAACCGUCUACGGCGACGGUUCUGUCUCCUUCUGUCUCACCUCAUUUAGAGACGUGUAACAAGCCCUGAGAAAGCCCUGGGGAGCGUUUCUUCUAACCAGAAGCUGGUCCAGCCUCUCUCCUGCCUCCUCCAUGCCUGGAAAGCCUGGGGAGGAGAAGCUCGCCUCGCGGAGCCGUGACAAAGAAAGGACUGUGACCGUCUGCUUCCCCCUGCUGCAGAAAGCUCCAACCCUGGAAGCCGAAGCAGGCCGGAGAGGAAGGACGCGGAGGGGUCUGGGUGGCAUCCAUCCAGGGUGAGGGCCACGGGGGAGCAGAGAACCGGAGACUCUCGCAAAGAUACAGGAACUCCCACUUCUCUCAAACCAAGGCAUGGAAACGAGGGCUUCGGUUUUUACAAGCCUUCCAGGCUGAGCUUUCUGGCUGCCCACAACGAAGAAUAAACAGACAGCUGGUAGUUCCAAUUGUCAGUGAGGUGGCCAUUUGCCACGGGAAACCACCAUGUGACAAUUCACCGAAGGGUGUUUAAAAAAAUCUAAGUAAUUCUCCUUGGCAAAGUCUCCACUUUCAUUUCUACUGCAUAACUUCUACGACAGUACUUCUCAGAAAUGACCAGUUACCCUGGCUUUGCUUCAAGAGCUCCAGAGAUACGCCACAAGGGCGGCCCAUUAAUCCCAUCUUCUGAUGCCUGGGACCAUCGCCUCCUUCUCCUUUCAGCUGGGCUGCCUUUCCUGGAUCCGCACGUCCGUCACUAAGGCCACCGGGGCGGAGCUGCCCCUCCCGGAGGCCCGCAACUGCCACGUGCCCUGCACCAGGCCGUCUGUCCUGCCGGCUACGCAAAUGUUCCCAUCCCUUCCAAGGCUCCUCGGGGACAUAGUCUUGAGUCUCUUCUCUGGUCAUCCUCAGGAGUCACUGGGACUCCUUGGGGAACCUUCCAGAGUAAUAGCCGUAAUGAUCAGAGCACCUGUCUGAGCUCUGCAGGGAUGAGCAGACCAUCCCUGGGCUAUUAAUGUCACUUAUGGGGAGCAGCUGAAGGCAGCCACAACACAGGCCGAUGCAGACGGCGCUGGCCAGGCCCAAAAGCUGCAAAGCUGAUUUUACCCCUGGUGUUACUACAGCCCAUCUUCUCCAUCUUGGGCUUGUGAAAUGGCGGGCUGGACCCCGGCACGCCAGGGCUCCUGCCUCUCCUCAAUUAACCCGGUGUCGAGAGUGGUUAUCUUUGCAGUCGGUCAGACGGUCCGUAGCGUGACCAAGUGGGCAGGAGAAAGAGGCCGCAAAGAGAAGGCGGACAAGCACGGCGAAGAAGCAAAGGCAGGAGUUCAGGGCUGUCGGGACGUCUGCAAGGCCAGCCGGGGAGGGAGGCGGGAGGCCCGAGCAGAGGCACGGGACACGUCCUGCUCCACCAGCACGGAGGGGCUGGCGCUGGCGGAACGGAGAGCGGAGAGUGGCAGCCAGCCUCCGGGGACGGCCCCGCGCGGGGAGGCAGGCCCUGCGAGACGCGACGGAUCUGCAGGGGCCACGCUGCGCAUUCGUUCUUUACACUCUCUUCGCCUGCCUGUCCCUCAGCACAGGUGAGAGGCUGCUUCGCAGGACGUAGAGACUGAGGGAAAAAACGCGUGACUACAAACGACUGGCAAAGGAGCUCCGUGCACGUUAUCUUAUUCAACUCUGAGGGCCGCCCUGUCACACGGAUGGUGUUGUCUGCAUCUCCGCGCUGAGAAAACUGGGACUCAAAACAAUUAAGAAACCUGCCCAAGGUCUCGUCUUUGACUAAGUGGCCUUUAGGCUUGAAUCUAGGUCAGAAAUGUAAGGUCCCUCCUCUCUGCAUCAGCCGACCUAUAACUCCUGGCUCCUUCCGUGGCCCUCCCCUACCCGGGCAGCGAGCAGGCAGCAGGGGCUUGGACUCGAGACCGCGCUGCUGAGUCCAAGGCCUGGCUCCACCGCGGACUAGUGAAGGUGACCUCAUACAGGCCGCCUAAUCUCCCCGUCCUUCCGUCGCCUCAGCUGUGAGGUAAUGACAGUUCCAGCUACGAGGGUUAAAUGCGUUUACAGUGCUGAAGCACUUUUAGAAUAGCCACACGGUAUACAUUAAGCUAGAUUAACUGAACUGGUUAACUAAACUAGAUGUGGACUUGGGCAAGCAGCUUAACCUCCCAGCCUUCAUCGGUCAGAAUACUGGGCUAUCGCCCCAUCGUGAUGAUAACGCGCCCACACACGUUGGUCACCAUUAUCGCCAUGCUACCUGACUUCAAAUCAUCUCUUCUUUCAUCCAGGACGGAACGUUACUGGAUCAUCUAACCACGCACAUAACCCGUGAAAUGAGCAUUUAACAGGUCAACUGAUUUAGAAAGAUAAAUACAAACUGAAAAGGAAAAAGCUUGAAAUACAGUGUGAAAUCGUUAAAAUGAAAAGAAUGAUGUGACACCAAAAGAACUUGCCCCUGUUCUAAGGACGUGUGGGCCAUUAACAGCACAGCAAGCCAGCCCCACGGCAGGUGCCUAGAGUGGGUCAAAUGCAACUCACCUCCCCCGAGUGACUUCAGUACAUGGAGGAAGAAUACUGUGGGGCGGGUGGGUUGGUUAUUUGUUUUGCUGGGGGGGGGGGCUGUCUCUGAUUUUGGGGCCCCUAAGAUGGAGUGUUUUCCUUCUGUUUAUAACUUUCCUGAGGACUCGUUUAUAACCCUUUAGAGAUGAUAUUGCUGUUUAAGUAUAAGCUUGGAAAUACUUUAAUUUAAACCACACCAAUGGCAUAUCUAACCUUUACACGGUCCGGGUCCACAUAAUGCAUUUUUUUCAUGUCACAUUCUUCAGUAGUAUAAUUUAACUUGAGAAUAUAAAGGAUCCACACUCCAAACACAAGCAAUGUACACCUGGAAAAAAAAUCAAUUAGGUAUAAUGAUGCAGUUAUGUGAUAAUCAAGAGAAAUCAUGUGAAAUAAGGGAAAACCUACCCCAGCUUGAGUUUGCCUGCCAGGUAACAUGAAAGUACAGCCUUUAAGGGGACCUUCGUGGCUGACUUAAGGCACCAUUUCUUACUUUCCUGACAAGAAAAAUUAGUCAUUUACGACUAUCUUUGUUAUAAGUGAAUACAGAGAAAACAUUUUUCUGCAAAGGCACCCUAAUAAAAUAUGAAUCACAACGCAGACCACUGGACUUUACAAGACGCCCAACCGACUGAGCCACCCAAGUACCCCCAGAAACCUCAUUUUUAAUAAGUUCUCUAAGUGAUACUGAUAAACUAAAAGUAAAAAAAAAAAAAAAAAGUUUAAACCUAAGUUUAGGAACCAUUGUUUUAAAUAAUUUGUGUUACUGAAAAAAGAGUUAAGGAAUAACCUUAAUGGGAAAAUGAUCCCUUUUGUAAAGGAAGGGACAGUUUAAAAAACACAGCAUCUAGCACAAUAAACUAUACACAAUAGAUGCUAAAUUAUUUCUUAAUAUUUAAGGAUGAUGCAAGAAACUAUUGCUAGGAAGUGUUUUCAAGACUUCUUGAUUCUUGGGAAGCCUGGGUGGCUCAGUCGGUUAAGCAGCUGCCUUCGGCCUGGGUCAUGAUCCCAGUGUCCUGGGAUCGAGUCCCACAUCGGGCUCCUUGCUCAGCAGGGAGCCUGCUUCUCUCUCUCUCUCUCUCCCUCUGCUUGUGCUCUCUCUGUCAAAUAAAUAAAAUCUUAAAAAAAAAAAAAAAAAAAA
Long non-coding RNA from Mirounga angustirostris (Northern elephant seal), 4255 nucleotides. RefSeq lists it as uncharacterized. The transcript is spliced from 2 exons. Lineage: Eukaryota; Metazoa; Chordata; Mammalia; Carnivora; Phocidae. The record is from RefSeq and is a predicted model, not a curated record.